UACGAAGGGGGCUAGCGUUGUUCGGAAUUACUGGGCGUAAAGCGCGCGCAGGUGGUCGUUCAAGUCAGUGGUGAAAGCCCGGAGCUCAACUCCGGAAAUGCCAUUGAAACUGUAAGACUUGAGGAUGAGAGAGGUGAGUGGAAUUCCCAGUGUAGAGGUGAAAUUCGUAGAUAUUGGGAAGAACACCGGUGGCGAAGGCGGCUCACUGGCUCAUAUCUGACGCUCAGGCGCGACAGCGUGGGGAUCAAACAGG
This 253-nucleotide ribosomal RNA is filed under the name uncultured bacterium. RNAcentral describes it as "partial 16S ribosomal RNA". It matches the Rfam family "Bacterial small subunit ribosomal RNA", at positions 524 to 776 of the family's 1533-position model. The record is from RNAcentral.